GGAGGUGACCGGUGCCUGGUGGUGCCCCUGGUCUUCAAAACCAGCGUGGGGUUCGCAAGGGCCCCAGGUGGGUUCGAUUCCCAUUCACCUCCGCCA
RNAcentral lists this transfer RNA (96 nucleotides) under Planctomycetota bacterium. RNAcentral's name for it is "Planctomycetes bacterium (hot springs metagenome) tRNA-Sec". It matches the Rfam family "Selenocysteine transfer RNA". Lineage: Bacteria; Pseudomonadati; Planctomycetota. The record is from RNAcentral.